GACGAACGCUGGCGGCGUGCUUAACACAUGCAAGUCGAACGGGAUUUAGUAGACAGAAGCCUCGGCUAAAGAUUACUAAUGAGAGUGGCGAACGGGUGAGUAACGCGUGAGCAACCUGCCUAUGACAGUGGGAUAGCCUCGGGAAACCGGGAUUAAUACCGCAUAAAAUCGUAGAAACACAUGUUUUAACGGUCAAAGAUUUAUCGGUCAUAGAUGGGCUCGCGUCUGAUUAGCUAGUUGGUGAGAUAACAGCCCACCAAGGCGACGAUCAGUAGCCGGUCUGAGAGGAUGAACGGCCACAUUGGAACUGGGACACGGUCCAAACUCCUACGGGAGGCAGCAGUGGGGAAUAUUGCACAAUGGGGGAAACCCUGAUGCAGCGACGCCGCGUGAACGAAGAAGGUAUUCGUAUCGUAAAGUUCUGUCCUAUGGGAAGAUAAUGACAGUACCAUAGAAGAAAGCUCCGGCUAAAUACGU
Molecule: ribosomal RNA, 477 nt
Filed under: uncultured bacterium
Lineage: Bacteria
Description: partial 16S ribosomal RNA
Rfam family: Bacterial small subunit ribosomal RNA
Source: RNAcentral